RNAcentral lists this unclassified non-coding RNA (339 nucleotides) under soil metagenome. Its description in RNAcentral is "partial contains 5.8S ribosomal RNA, internal transcribed spacer 2, and large subunit ribosomal RNA". The stretch from base 1 to 120 matches the Rfam family "5.8S ribosomal RNA", at positions 35 to 154 of the family's 154-position model. The record is from RNAcentral.
GAUGAAGAACGCAGCGAAAUGCGAUAACUAAUGUGAAUUGCAGAAUUCAGUGAAUCAUCGAGUCUUUGAACGCACAUUGCGCCCCCUGGUAUUCCGGGGGGCAUGCCUGUCCGAGCGUCAUUGCUGCCCUCAAGCACGGCUUGUGUGUUGGGCUCCGUCCCCCCGGGGACGGGCCCGAAAGGCAGCGGUGGCACCGAGUCCGGUCCUCGAGCGUAUGGGGCUUUGUCACCCGCUCUGUAGGCCCGGCCGGCGCCAGCCGACAACCCAUCAUCCUUUUCAGGUUGACCUCGGAUCAGGUAGGGAUACCCGCUGAACUUAAGCAUAUCAAUAAGCGGAGGA